Small nucleolar RNA from Rosa rugosa (rugosa rose), 103 nucleotides. RefSeq annotates it as small nucleolar RNA snoR97. NCBI's taxonomy places the organism in Eukaryota, Viridiplantae, Streptophyta, Magnoliopsida, Rosales, Rosaceae. The record is from RefSeq and is a predicted model, not a curated record. The transcript has a single exon.
CUUCAGUAGCUGGUAGAGUCUGAAAAACUCAUAAAUUGUGUGUUGUCUAUCAGCUUCAUCUCUAGUUCUAUAGAGAGUGGAGUUAAAUAACAGCACUACAUUU